AGUGAACGCUGGCGGUAGGCCUAACACAUGCAAGUCGAACGGCAGCACAGUAAGAGCUUCUCUUACGGGUGGCGAGUGGCGGACGGGUGAGGAAUACAUCGGAAUCUACUUUUUCGUGGGGGAUAACGUAGGGAAACUUACGCUAAUACCGCAUACGACCUACGGGUGAAAGCAGGGGAUCUUCGGACCUUGCGCGAUUGAAUGAGCCGAUGUCGGAUUAGCUAGUUGGCGGGGUAAAGGCCCACCAAGGCGACGAUCCGUAGCUGGUCUGAGAGGAUGAUCAGCCACACUGGAACUGAGACACGGUCCAGACUCCUACGGGAGGCAGCAGUGGGGAAUAUUGGACAAUGGGCGCAGGCCUGAUCCAGCCAUACCGCGUGGGUGAAGAAGGCCUUCGGGUUGUAAAGCCCUUUUGUUGGGAAAGAAAAGCAGCAGGUUAAUACCCCGCUGUUCUGACGGUACCCAAAGAAUAAGCACCGGCUAACUUCGUG
RNAcentral lists this ribosomal RNA (491 nucleotides) under uncultured bacterium. RNAcentral's name for it is "partial 16S ribosomal RNA". It matches the Rfam family "Bacterial small subunit ribosomal RNA", at positions 29 to 507 of the family's 1533-position model. The record is from RNAcentral.